This 425-nucleotide ribosomal RNA is filed under the name uncultured bacterium. RNAcentral describes it as "partial 16S ribosomal RNA". It matches the Rfam family "Bacterial small subunit ribosomal RNA", at positions 354 to 796 of the family's 1533-position model. The record is from RNAcentral.
GUGGGGAAUAUUGGGCAAUGGGCGAAAGCCUGACCCAGCAACGCCGCGUGAAGGAAGAAGGUCUUCGGAUCGUAAACUUCUAUCCUUGGUGAAGAUAAUGACGGUAGCCGAGAAGGAAGCCCCGGCUAACUACGUGCCAGCAGCCGCGGUAAUACGUAGGGGGCAAGCGUUGUCCGGAAUGAUUGGGCGUAAAGGGCGCGUAGGCGGCCUGGUAAGUCUGGAGUGAAAGUCCUGCUUUUAAGGUGGGAAUUGCUUUGGAUACUGUCGGGCUUGAGUGCAGGAGAGGUAAGUGGAAUUCCCGGUGUAGCGGUGAAAUGCGUAGAGAUCGGGAGGAACACCAGUGGAGAAGGCGACUUACUGGACUGUAACUGACGCUGAGGCGCGAAAGUGUGGGGAGCAAACAGGAUUAGAUACCCUUGUAGUCC